This 73-nucleotide transfer RNA is filed under the name Marmoricola endophyticus. RNAcentral describes it as "tRNA-Val". It matches the Rfam family "tRNA". Rfam says of the family: Transfer RNA (tRNA) molecules are approximately 80 nucleotides in length. Their secondary structure includes four short double-helical elements and three loops (D, anti-codon, and T loops). Further hydrogen bonds mediate the characteristic L-shaped molecular structure. tRNAs have two regions of fundamental functional importance: the anti-codon, which is responsible for specific mRNA codon recognition, and the 3' end, to which the tRNAs corresponding amino acid is attached (by aminoacyl-tRNA synthetases). tRNAs cope with the degeneracy of the genetic code in two manners: having more than one tRNA (with a specific anti-codon) for a particular amino acid; and 'wobble' base-pairing, i.e. permitting non-standard base-pairing at the 3rd anti-codon position. The record is from RNAcentral. Lineage: Bacteria; Bacillati; Actinomycetota; Actinomycetes; Propionibacteriales; Nocardioidaceae.
GGGCGUAUAGCUCAGCGGUAGAGCGCUGCCCUUACAAGGCAGAUGUCGCAGGUUCGAUCCCUGCUACGCCCAC